Molecule: ribosomal RNA, 494 nt
Filed under: Theileria sp. buffeli/orientalis group
Lineage: Eukaryota; Apicomplexa; Aconoidasida; Piroplasmida; Theileriidae
Description: SSU rRNA
Rfam family: Eukaryotic small subunit ribosomal RNA
Source: RNAcentral
CAGCGCGGUGUACCUCACCAGGUCCAGACAGAGGAAGGAUUGACAGAUUGAUAGCUCUUUCUUGAUUCUUUGGGUGGUGGUGCAUGGCCGUUCUUAGUUGGUGGAGUGAUUUGUCUGGUUAAUUCCGUUAACGAACGAGACCUUAACCUGCUAAAUAGGAUGCGGGAAUAGACUUUUGUUGUCCCGUAAUCGCUUCUUAGAGGGACUUUGCGGUUAUAAAUCGCAAGGAAGUUUAAGGCAAUAACAGGUCUGUGAUGCCCUUAGAUGUCCUGGGCUGCACGCGCGCUACACUGAUGCGUUCAUCGAGUUUAUCCUUGGCCGAGAGGCCCGGGUAAUCUUUAGUACGCAUCGUGAUGGGGAUCGAUUAUUGCAAUUAUUAAUCGUGAACGAGGAAUGCCUAGUAUGCGCAAGUCAUCAGCUUGUGCAGAUUACGUCCCUGCCCUUUGUACACACCCCCCGUCGCUCCUACCAAUCAACUGAUGCCGUGAAUUAUU